Molecule: ribosomal RNA, 397 nt
Filed under: uncultured bacterium
Lineage: Bacteria
Description: bacterial SSU rRNA
Rfam family: Bacterial small subunit ribosomal RNA
Source: RNAcentral
AUAUUGGUCAAUGGGGGAAACCCUGAACCAGCAACGCCGCGUGAGGGAUGACGGCCUUCGGGUUGUAAACCUCUGUCCUCUGUGAAGAUAAUGACGGUAGCAGAGGAGGAAGCCCCGGCUAACUACGUGCCAGCAGCCGCGGUAAUACGUAGGGGGCAAGCGUUAUCCGGAUUUACUGGGUGUAAAGGGAGCGUAGACGGCUGUGCAAGUCUGGAGUGAAAGCCCGGGGCUCAACCCCGGGACUGCUUUGGAAACUGUACGGCUGGAGUGCUGGAGAGGCAAGCGGAAUUCCUAGUGUAGCGGUGAAAUGCGUAGAUAUUAGGAGGAACACCAGUGGCGAAGGCGGCUUGCUGGACAGUAACUGACGUUGAGGCUCGAAAGCGUGGGGAGCAAACAG